AACGAACGCUGGCGGCAGGCCUAACACAUGCAAGUCGAGCGCCCAGCAAUGGGAGCGGCGGACGGGUGAGUAACGCGUGGGAAUUUUUCCUGGAGUACGGAACAACCGAGGGAAACUUCGGCUAAUACCGUAUGAUGCCGAGAGGCCAAAGAUUUAUCGCUCUGGGGUGAGCCCGCGUCAGAUUAGGUAGUUGGUGGGGUAAAGGCCUACCAAGCCUGCGAUCUGUAGCUGGUCUGAGAGGACGAUCAGCCACACUGGGACUGAGACACGGCCCAGACUCCUACGGGAGGCAGCAGUGGGGAAUAUUGGACAAUGGGCGAAAGCCUGAUCCAGCGAUGCCGCGUGUGUGAAGAAGGCCUGCGGGUUGUAAAGCACUUUCAGUAGGGAAGAAAUGCUUGGAGCUAACACCGCCAAGUUUUGUACGUUACCUACAGAAGAAGCACCGCUAACUCCGUGCCAGCCGCCGCGGUAAGU
RNAcentral lists this ribosomal RNA (474 nucleotides) under uncultured bacterium. RNAcentral's name for it is "bacterial SSU rRNA". It matches the Rfam family "Bacterial small subunit ribosomal RNA", at positions 29 to 525 of the family's 1533-position model. The record is from RNAcentral.